CAUUAUUAUAGCUUAACUCAUUGUUUCUCUCAUGUAAGUGCCUAACUUAUGCCACUUAAUCCUAAUUAUGUUUAUAUAUAUGAUUUGCCUGCCAUUUCUUUCUCUGAUCAUCAAUGAACCUGAUGCGAACUAAUCCACAUAAAACCCAAAUGAAUGGCUAUCCCCUAUUUCUUUCCUCUACUCUAUCAUCUCGUUUCUUCCUUAAACCUAUAAGCAACUUCUUUCGACAAUUCUUGGUUCACACUUUCUUUUGCAUAAGAAUAUGUCAAGACCAUUAAUCAAUUCCUAGCAUCUACUUCUCCUAUAUUUCAUUAGGGUUAUGGCACGUGAUUCUUCAUAUUUAGCGGUCGCAUAGUCAAAACGGACUCUGUUGUGAGAGAUAUUGCAUGAGUACUACAGCUGCAAAUUUUAGGCUUAGGGUUUUGUGCUUGGAAGGAAAGCGGCUAAGGUACCAAAGAAAAAUGAAGUUGAUGUGUUGCUUGUACAUGCGUGGGGAUAAAUCGAAGGGUUUUUAUUAGAGUAUAAUUGUAAAUUUAAAUAAGGCUUCUUAACAAUUAUAUAGCUACUUUAUUGUAAAUUUAACAUAUUUUGAAAUUGACAACUUGUAGUAUUCUGGACUUAAUAAGUCUUUUUAAAUUUUUACAAUAAUUAGAUAGCUAUAUAUCUUGA
Long non-coding RNA from Trifolium pratense (red clover), 669 nucleotides. RefSeq lists it as uncharacterized. The record is from RefSeq and is a predicted model, not a curated record. Lineage: Eukaryota; Viridiplantae; Streptophyta; Magnoliopsida; Fabales; Fabaceae. The transcript has 2 exons.